CUAAACUUUUUUGCAGUUUUGACGCAAAUUAAAUCAAAUUGGCAGAAAAGAGUCCAGGGUUCAUAAGCACGAAUACAGUGACAGUCUGCAACUGCGAGGAAGGAGAGAGACUCUUGUCGAACACGCUGAUUUCGUUCUCGCUCUCGUUUUUUCUCACGCUGAUUUCAUUCCGUCGUCCGAUUGUCUGCUCUAGGUUAUUUAUCUUUUUUUUUACCCUGCGGUUUGCUUUCAGAAUUCUCCACGCUUUCUGCUUUAAUUAUUACGAUUUCCGUUCAAGUGUUGGUCUACAUUUGCUUAUUUUCUAUCUGCAACUAUUUACAAUUACCAUAUGAGCAGAAAAAAAAAUGAAGAAAAGACUUUCAGAAUAAUAGAUGAUGGUAAAUGUGUAAUUUUCUGCAAGCAUUAUUGGUCUAGAACCAGGAAGUGCCUCUGAGACCCUCGUUUUCCUCAAAGAGUGUUUUAUAUUCUCUUCCGUGGCGUUGAUAUAUGAUAAAUUUGCAUGCAUAAUGCGCCAUGUUUUGCAAUGGUUUUUUCUUCACAAGCAUUCUUCUUGGUCAUAUCUUUUAGAGAUGAAAUGGUUAAAUGCUUAGCUAAUUGUAGUUCAUACCAUAUUUUUUUUUUUUUGAAACCCAUUCAUACCAUAGUAUUUAAUUGUCUUAAAUAUUACCCUGCAUCUGCUGGAAACUGAUGCUUUGGUUCUCUUAUUGAUCAUUGUGAGGAAAGGGAUUAGGAAUCCUUAUGAUGCAGUUACUUCUGAUCCAUCAGUCAAAGGCAAAAACAAGAAUAAUGCUUCAAGACAGUGUUUUCCCCAGCAUUCCACCCCUAAGGCAUGGCAUACUGACACUGUGAAGAAACUUGGCUUCAGAGAUGAUGGAGGGCUUGGACAGGGCUCCGGCAGAGGGUAUACUAAACAACAGCCAUCUGGCCGUAAUCCUAACUCUGACUAUGAUGCAGCACCUCCAGUAUGGAACACUAGAGCCGCUUCUUCUCAGCCCUCAGCUCAAGCAACUGAUAAUCAGGCCUUUGAUGAAGUUGAUGAUGAGUCAGAUGAUGCUCUGAGUGAUGACUUUGAUUCAGAUCAAAGCCAGAAAAGCCAUGAGACGAAAAAAAAGAACAAGUGGUUUAAGGAGCUUUUUCAGUGCUUGGACAAUUUAACUGUUAAGGAGAUUAAUGAGCCUGAAAGAUAGUGGCAUUGCCCAGCAUGCCAAGGAGGCCCCGGUGCUAUUGACUGGUACCGUUGCAACCCUUAAUCACACAUGCCAAAACCAAACGAUCCAAAAGGAUGAAGCUCCACAGAGAGCUUGCUGAAAUAUUGGAUGAGGAACUUAAAAGAAGGAGAACAUCGGCAGUGCCAGCUGGUGAGACCAAGAGCUACGCGCAAAUUCUCAUUGGACAAGAGAGCUGAUAAAGAAAUUGUUUGGCCCCCCAUGGUGGUAAUUAUGAAUACCAAGCUUGACAAAGAUGAAAAUGAAAUGGAGUGGCAUGGGUAAUCAAGAGCUGCUUGAUUGUUUCCCUGACUAUUCUGCAAUCAAGGCAGACCAUUCUUAUGGACCACAAGGGCACCGUGACAUGAGUCUGUUAAUUUUUGAG
Long non-coding RNA from Salvia miltiorrhiza (redroot sage), 1590 nucleotides. RefSeq lists it as uncharacterized. The transcript has 3 exons. The record is from RefSeq and is a predicted model, not a curated record. NCBI's taxonomy places the organism in Eukaryota, Viridiplantae, Streptophyta, Magnoliopsida, Lamiales, Lamiaceae.